UUUCCUAGGAAGGUGAUACUUACAGCAGUGGAGAUUAGCAAUACCUGGACAGAGUUGAGCUUCAAAGGACACUGAGAAAUGGCUAAAGCAGUAAUAAAGAAAAAAAUGAGGAAAUGCUGUGAAGAAUAGAACAUUUCAGAAGCAGAACAAUUCGAGAGCAGUGAUGACCCUUUUGUUCCUACUAGUACCUCCUGACUGUCUGGCCGAACUCACCAUCAGAUGAUGUCUUGAACCUCACCUAGACGGGCUGGUGGUGUGUGGCCAGGUUAAGAGCACCACGAGGAGUAAGAAAGUGACGUGCCUGGUUUUACCAUGUCCACUAGGGGAGGAGUUGAAAGCUUUCUGUUGAUACAUCACCUCUGGGAGUUGAAGAAGAAUGCAAUUAAAAGAGCUAAAGAAGUCAGUAGGUAUCUCUCCUGAACAAUUCUGGUUUUCUUCUAAUGGCUUU
RNAcentral lists this non-coding RNA (448 nucleotides) under Pongo abelii (Sumatran orangutan). Lineage: Eukaryota; Metazoa; Chordata; Mammalia; Primates; Hominidae. The record is from RNAcentral.